UUGGGUUUCUGAGUUUGAAGAUUAGAAGCAACAGGGAAGAAGAAUUUGUUGUGCCGGUGAUCGUCAUGGGUUUUAUGCUAAAAUUCAGUCAAGAGAAGAGAUUUGAGCAGAGAUAACUAUGAAGAUGAACUGAUGAGUUGGUAUUUGAUACAAAAGAUGGGUUAUAUGCUGAAUUCGAGUUGGAAAUGGAAUUGAUUGUAUAUUGGUUCAGAUAUGAAGCACUGGUGGUUAUAAUGGGUUUGUGCACUGUGAGAAAUGGAUAUUAUUGAUGUUCAGGUGGAAUGAAUUGUAAGCUGGUGUUACAGGUGCAGUGGUGAUGGGUUUUGGUUGUUGGCCUAGCCCGAGGAUGAGCUGAAGAAGUUAAUUGCUUGCCAGGAGAGGUGGUUGUUAAUGGAAGAAGAACAGUGCAUUGGGACUGUUGUGUUACAGGGAACCAAAGGUGGUUGGUAUUGCAAGAGAUGGUAUUGUACAGCAUUAGUUGAGUUUUGAAGCUGCAGAAUGGCUGUGAGCCGAGAAAAAUGAGGCGGGAAAGAGCUACAGAAUGAGAUGGAGAACUGGUAGUUGGUAUCAGGGACCAUAACUUGGCUUAAGGCAGUGCAAAUGAAGUGCUGGUGGUGAUGAUUUGUUGUGACUGAGGUUUGAAAUAAUUGAAGUUACAGAGUUAUAAAUGAUGGGUUUGCUUGAGUUAUAAGAAGAACUGGUCAGAGUUGGUUUAUGAAGAACUAAAAAGCCUUAUGCAGCAGCGAAAGCUAGAGAGUAUCUCAACAAGCCUGCUAUACAUGAAACAAUGGUCGAGAUGAAGGAAUAUCCCAUAAGGACCUUGACAAAGUACAUUUUUAACUAGUCGUGCCGUAUGCAUAUUCCUUGGUGAUCUUUUGGUUUCACUGGCUAUUGAA
Molecule: long non-coding RNA, 896 nt
Organism: Papaver somniferum (opium poppy)
Lineage: Eukaryota; Viridiplantae; Streptophyta; Magnoliopsida; Ranunculales; Papaveraceae
Exons: 4
Source: RefSeq, a predicted model, not a curated record